This 524-nucleotide ribosomal RNA is filed under the name uncultured Glomeromycotina. RNAcentral describes it as "SSU rRNA". It matches the Rfam family "Eukaryotic small subunit ribosomal RNA", at positions 569 to 1092 of the family's 1831-position model. Lineage: Eukaryota; Fungi; Glomeromycota. The record is from RNAcentral.
AGCAGCCGCGGUAAUUCCAGCUCCAAUAGCGUAUAUUAAAGUUGUUGCAGUUAAAGAGCUCGUAGUUGAACUUCGGGGUUUACCCAUUGGUCAGGCUUAAUUGUCUGCACUGGUGAGAUGAAUCUCUACCUUCUGAGGAACUUUCAUGCCAUUUAUUUGGUGUGAUGGGAAAUCAGGACUGUUACUUUGAAAACAUUAGAGUGUUUAAAGCAGGCUAACGUCUGAAUACAUUAGCAUGGAAUAAUGAAAUAGGACGGACUGAUUCUAUUUUGUUGGUUUCUAGGAUCACCGCAAUGAUUAAUAGGGAUAGUUGGGGGCAUUAGUAUUCAAUUGUCAGAGGUGAAAUUCUUGGAUUUAUUGAAGACUAACUACUGCGAAAGCAUUUGCCAAGGAUGUUUUCAUUAAUCAAGAACGAAAGUUAGGGGAUCGAAGACGAUCAGAUACCGUCGUAGUCUUAACCAUAAACUAUGCCGACUAGGGAUCGGACGAAGUUGAUUUUAUAAUGACGCGUUUGGCACCUUACG